CAUCCCUCCUAGUUGCCUUUGGUUCUUUCUUUAGUGUUGAGGCUUUUGUGAGCUUCCAACCUCCAUAAUCACAUGUCUGUUCCUGUUGUCCUUGUUCAGGUCAUGUUUAGUGUAACUUAAUGGGUAUAGCUCUUUUGCAGCUUUUUAAAGGCAGAUAUGAUAAGACAUAUGAGCUGAGUAUGAUAGAUGGGGAGUGGGAUGAGGGAGAAUAAAUGAAUACAGCACCACACUAAGUUUAAUGACGACAGUCAUUGAGAUGAGGACUACUGAAGGAAAGAAGAAGAGGAGGAGGAAAAGGAGAAGAAAGAUCGAGUUUGGAACUAUUGGUAUGAAAUGCCUAAUAAAUAUCCUAGAGCAGAUAUGGAGAUGGUAGGGGAAUACAUGCACCAGAGUCCUUGGAAGAAGAUUUACAUUGGAUCAUAUCACCUAAAGAUGACAGAGUAGGACACCAAGAACAAAAUGCAGGACACUAUCAUAGGUCCAGGAUUCUGAUUUAAAGCAAAACAAACAAACAAAAAAAAGACAUAGCAACGGGAGAUGGAGGAGAGGACACUGGGCAUGAGAUACAUGCAAACAACAACAAAAAAAUGGGAAAUUAGUUUUCUCAACAGCAAGAGAAGAAAGGUUGUGGGAACCAGACCAUGAAGCACUACUGUGAAAUGAAGAUUAUAGAGGAUCAGAUUUGGCCUUAUGGGGGUCCUUGAUGUCCAAGAUCAGAGCAGCUUCAGAUCCAAUACAUGGCUUAAUUAGAGGAGCUAUCUUAUAAUUGCUCUAGAUUCUUGGUGAAAGGAGAAUUAGUUAUCUUGUGAAAACUAAGGAGGAAGGAGGAGGCUUGAGAGCUCUGUGAAUAAAAAAAGCUGUAACAUAGUAAUCUGAUGAACAAAUCCACGUGGAAAGACAAGAGGACUUCUGGAUAAACAAAUAAUUCUCUUGGCACUUAAGGUUAUAAAUUUAAAAUAGAAGCACUGUGCUUUGUAUAGUCUUCCCAAACAUGUCAACCUUCCCAGGUGAAUGGAAGCAAAGAACAAGAUUUAAGCUAUGGUAGGAAGGGUGCUGGGGCUUUGGAAAUCAAUAUGAAAGGAUGAUUGUAUUAGAAUGGAAGUAAAUCAGACAUGUGGAUAGGUAGACAAGGGAGAAAUGGUGGUAUCAAAGAUCAAUAGGAUCAAAGACAUUUUUAAAAUGGAGAUGCACGAAAGAGUAACAUAGAAAGAUGUGGUAUGACUGUAAGUUGAAAUUUUGGUAAUGACUUGGUGUUUUGAUGGUUCAGUUAAAAGCAUUUGAUGAUGAUGUAUUGGCAAUGACGAGGCUUAGGAUACACUGGAUAGUAACAGUGAAUGGCC
This 1340-nucleotide long non-coding RNA is filed under the name Mus musculus (house mouse). Its description in RNAcentral is "predicted gene, 47664". Lineage: Eukaryota; Metazoa; Chordata; Mammalia; Rodentia; Muridae. The record is from RNAcentral.